ACACUAGAGAUUUUUACCCUCUUAUGGUAAAUCACUAAAAAUUACUACUCCCAAUCUCAAAUGGUUUACAUGGGAUGGAUUUGCUCCAGAUAACUGUUUUUUGGGUAACUUAAAGUGUUUACGUUCUUGUACAUUAAAUCUUGAACAGCUUUCUAGCUCAUGGAGGCCGCCAAGCUUGGAGUAUUUCCAAUUUCUAGAAGGGAUCAAUGAUCUAGAGAUACAGUUUCGGUGUCUUAAGGAAUUAUAUAAGGCCGGCAUGCUGCCGAUUCCUUUGAUGCAUGUACGUACUUUGCGUAUAAACUUUAUCCAAUCAGAUACUAACGAUGACAAUGUAGUUCCAGCAAUUUCCUUACUUCUCAAGGGAGCUGUUAACGUAGAAGCUUGGUCCACGACAAAUGGGAAGUUUUGGCUAAUGUACAAGCCUUGUUCCAUAGAAAUAAAGUUGCGGCAAGUACGGGAAUUUAUGAAAGCAAUUGUGAAGGUUGUUCCCGAGAAAAGGUAGGAACAUCAUUGUCUAUCAAGUGGUUCAGAUUUAAAGCUGAAUAUUGAAGAUUUCAAGAAUUGAUAUGUAUUCGUCAUUGGAAGAGUAUAUUGAGUGGUUUUUUUAAAGGAAAUAAUUCAUUGUAGCGGCUAGAGUAUAUUCUCAAGCAUACCACAGAAAUGUGAGGAGAUAGACACCAUUUGUACACCUUCCCGGCAAUCAUAUAUCACAAAGACAAUUGAACGUAGGGCAGCAUCAAUUGUUAGAAUUUUUUUUCCUUAAGUAACAAUUCUAUAUUUAUAAUGGUUUUUUAGUAUUAUAUGUGAAAAUUUCAACUAUGGGAGCCUUAGAAAAGUAUUUUCUAAUGUGUUUUGGGAUAUUUUUGUUUUUGGUUUUGACAA
This is a long non-coding RNA of Alnus glutinosa, 882 nucleotides long. RefSeq lists it as uncharacterized. The transcript has 3 exons. Lineage: Eukaryota; Viridiplantae; Streptophyta; Magnoliopsida; Fagales; Betulaceae. The record is from RefSeq and is a predicted model, not a curated record.